AGGCCUCUAUACAAAGCUAUCGCCGAAGGAGGGGUUUUGCGUCUGAUUAGCUGGUUGGAGGGGUAACGGCCCAACAAGGCGAUGAUCAGUAGCCGGUCUGAGAGGAUGAACGGCCACAUUGGGACUGAGACACGGCCCAGACUCCUACGGGAGGCAGCAGUGGGGAAUCUUCCGCAAUGGACGAAAGUCUGACGGAGCAACGCCGCGUGAGUGAAGAAGGUCUUCGGAUUGUAAAGCUCUGUUAUACGGGACGAAAGAGACGGAUGCCAACAGUAUCCGUCCGUGACGGUACCGUAAGAGAAAGCCACGGCUAACUACGUGCCAGCAGCCGCGGUAAAU
Molecule: ribosomal RNA, 339 nt
Filed under: uncultured Megasphaera sp.
Lineage: Bacteria; Bacillati; Bacillota; Negativicutes; Veillonellales; Veillonellaceae
Description: bacterial SSU rRNA
Rfam family: Bacterial small subunit ribosomal RNA
Source: RNAcentral